Balaenoptera acutorostrata (minke whale) is the source of this 2025-nucleotide long non-coding RNA. RefSeq lists it as uncharacterized. Lineage: Eukaryota; Metazoa; Chordata; Mammalia; Artiodactyla; Balaenopteridae. The record is from RefSeq and is a predicted model, not a curated record. The transcript is spliced from 3 exons.
ACUCCAAGAAGAGGAACGGCAAUCUGAAAAAAAACCCCAGCCAUCUCGGGAGUCGCCGCAGGAGUCGCAGCCACCGCCGGCGCCAGCACAGUCGCCACCCGCGCAGCCGCAGCCGCAGCCGCAGCCGCAGCCGCAGCCUCCGCAGGUACCCGAGCGGCCGCCGCCGCCGCCGCCGCCUCAGCCAAAGCCACAAAAUGCCCAAGACCCUCUUACUCAGCGCACCUCCCGGUACAUUCUCCAGGAUUGCCAAAGGCCAGGACCCCACAAGGACCGAUUCCAAGGAGGGGUGAUGAACCCUCAAGGUCCAGGUUUCAGGAAAUCUAGCCCAGAUACACACACCAAGUACCCACGACUCACGGUGAGACGGCCUCAGAGUGUGAAAGGCAGCUAGAGCCUGGCUGCGUGUCUGAGCGUGCUUGCGUUCAACGAAUUACAUCCAGCAGUGGUGAUUCAGAGACAGACCCCCCCCCCCCAAGACCCCACUGGCCAUCAGCAAACAUCAGAUGAGCAGCCCCACCUUCUUACCUCCCAGCAACAUCUCCACUUCAAAAGCCAACCCCUCCUGAUCCACUCUGGCGGGGGAGGCUAGCUGGGAAUAACACGUGAUCUCUUCCCGGAAAGAAUCAAGACCCUGGCUGGGCUCCCUGAGACCGAGAUGAGGGGGAGGGGGCAGGAAGACCCACGAAGAGGAUGGAGACGGUGCGAGAAGAAAGUGGAGGGCGAUUCCAUGCUUCUCCAGGCAAAGCCAAUGGGAGAACUUGGCCUUGGGCGCCCCCCCCCGGGUCUACAGCUCCACCACUGGCCCUUAUUUAGCAGCGAGAGGCCUGCUGGGGGCUCAGGUUUAUGACUCUCACUGGAGCCACCAGCCCGUCCUCCUGGCCGACGCUUAUUGAGAUGCAUCUGGGGAAGCGGGGGUUGCAUCACACCAGAGCGGACCUGGGACCUGGGGCAGCAUCAGGAAGAAGUGGCAGGCAGGGGCCUCCCCCAAGUCCGGUGUCACGCCUGGUCCACCGUGGGCACUCUGCUGUUGAACGGACGAUGGUUGGAAGGGAUGGAGAGAAAGAACUCAGAGGAAAGGAGGACUGCAGCCUCAGGCACAGGACACCGGACCUUGGGAAGAGGGGGACUCGCCCCCGCAAAUCCACAGGCCUCUUCCUCCCUGGGUCUCAGCCUUUCCAUGUAGCAGAGACAACCGAGAGGCUCUGGAGGCCCCAGGCAUCCCCCUCACCACUUCCUGAAACUGACACCUGGGGUCCCCCAGCCCCGCUCCCUCUUCCACUCUUGACUGGUCAGGGGGGAGCCUGGGUCCUUUCACUGCUGCAGCAUCGCCUUUGGGUGAGACUGAAGGCGCCUCUCAGCGCAGCGUUUCCUGAGAGGAGCAGUUGGGGGAGGCCGAAGGAGCGGGGGCGCACAGAACGGGAGCGUGAACGUUGGGAGGGACUCCGAGAUACACAACGAGGGAAAGGGAGAGGGCGAGCUCCCCGGGAGCAGUCUCCCAGAAGGCACGGAGGCAGGGCGUGUUCCCGAGGGGCUCAGGGACCGGGGAAGAGACCCUGAGGCCCACUCGGAUAUUAAGAAACAGGCUGUGAGAUGGGGAGCGUCCACCAGCUCCCUUCCCACUCACAGGAGCCUUUUAUUUUCCUUUCUUAAACAUCGUUAAGCACCGUUUAUUGACUGCAAUAUAAGUCCAUUACAUUUGGCGAACUCCACCCAGCGUGAGCUCCAGCCUGGCCCUCGCGGACUUCCGUGCUCUUACCAGCGCCACCUCGACGCCAGUUACCCAGGCGUGGAAGCGCGCAGACAGCACCAACUCCUUCCUUCCCCUCAUCCCCCCGGCCGGCUCCUCACCCGGUUCUGGCCCCACGUCCCCUUCUCCGGUCCUUCCUACUGCAAACUCAGCUUUCCCUGCUACUCAAGCUCACCUCUCUGCCUGUCUGAGUGAUGGAAACCGUAACCGCCUUUAGUGAGCAAACACAAUUCCUGCUCGCCUAAAGAACCCGGGGGUGGGGGUGGGGGGUGGGGUUG